This 360-nucleotide ribosomal RNA is filed under the name Cylindera kaleea. Its description in RNAcentral is "partial 16S ribosomal RNA". The stretch from base 1 to 161 matches the Rfam family "Bacterial large subunit ribosomal RNA", at positions 1797 to 2021 of the family's 2925-position model. The record is from RNAcentral. Lineage: Eukaryota; Metazoa; Arthropoda; Insecta; Coleoptera; Carabidae.
CGCCUGUUUAACAAAAACAAGUCCUUUUGAAUAUAUUUAAUGUCUAACCUGCCCAAUGAGGCAUUAAAUGGCCGCAGUAUUUUGACUGUGCAAAGGUAGCAUAAUUAUUAGUUUUUUAAUUGAAAGCUUGUAUGAAGGGUUGGACGAAAUAAAACCUGUCUUUAUUUAAGUUAUAAUAGAAUUUAACUUUUAAGUCAAAAGGCUUAAAUUUAUAUAAAAGACGAGAAGACCCUAUAGAUCUUUAUUUAAUUAAUAUUUUAAUAAUUUUGGAUUAUUUUAAUUUAAAGUUUUAAUUAAAUUUUAUUGGGGUAAUGUAAAGAUUAAAAUAAUUCUUUUUUUUUUAAUACAUUGAUUUAUGAA